Regulatory RNA element from Cellulomonas sp. Leaf395, 68 nucleotides. It matches the Rfam family "Actino-pnp RNA". NCBI's taxonomy places the organism in Bacteria, Bacillati, Actinomycetota, Actinomycetes, Micrococcales, Cellulomonadaceae. The record is from Rfam.
UUCGGUCCUCGGUAGUGGCUUCCGGAAGCUCCGCGAGGGGAGUCCGGUGGCCUCGAUCGAAGAUCGCU